AGGAGGUUAGUGUAGUGGUUA
RNAcentral lists this small nuclear RNA (21 nucleotides) under Phaeodactylum tricornutum CCAP 1055/1. Its description in RNAcentral is "snRNA PTsRNA00046b". Lineage: Eukaryota; Bacillariophyta; Bacillariophyceae; Surirellales; Neidiaceae. The record is from RNAcentral.